Ascodesmis nigricans is the source of this 81-nucleotide non-coding RNA. The record is from the annotation of a GenBank genome assembly. NCBI's taxonomy places the organism in Eukaryota, Fungi, Ascomycota, Pezizomycetes, Pezizales, Ascodesmidaceae.
GGUGUUUUGGCCGAGUGGUUAAGGCGCCAGCUUCAGGUGCUGGUGGGGCAACCCGCGCAGGUUCGAGUCCUGCAGACAUCA